RNAcentral lists this microRNA (23 nucleotides) under Bombyx mori (domestic silkworm). RNAcentral describes it as "bmo-miR-3412". The record is from miRBase by way of RNAcentral. Lineage: Eukaryota; Metazoa; Arthropoda; Insecta; Lepidoptera; Bombycidae.
UGGAAUGUAUUCUUCAUUAGUUU